GGGAGGUGGUGUGUUUCGCGCAGCCAGCCAUUGUUGCUUGUUUUAAUGCUUCAUCCAAUUUAGCCUAAGUAGUGGGAGGGGGAGGGGGAGGUGUAUUGUUAAGCCAUUUGAAGGAAUUCAAUCUCUACUAUCGUAUUACUUUCUCCAAUGUUAAUGUUGUAGUGCGCCUGUAAGUGUUCCAUAUCCCUGGGUGUCAGUCAAUGUAAUUCUGUAAAUGUUAUUGAUGGGAAAAUUAUCUUGUGUUAUGGUAAUUAUCAUGUCAUUUAUCCUUCGCCUCGCCAACUCCACUCGCAUAUAACCUGUUUUACAGGAAUCACGUAAAUUGUUUCAUUUUCAAUUUCGAUCUGGUUGAGCAUGGAUUGUGCAAUUGUUUGCUAUCAUUUCCGCUGGCAUCCUGCAAAUGGGUUUAUCAGAAGAUAUUGCCAUCC
RNAcentral lists this long non-coding RNA (428 nucleotides) under Setaria viridis. Its description in RNAcentral is "long non-coding RNA (SVIR_LNC000048)". The record is from RNAcentral. Lineage: Eukaryota; Viridiplantae; Streptophyta; Magnoliopsida; Poales; Poaceae.